UCAUCAGAGAAUUCACACAGGAGAGAAACCUUACAAAUGCAGUGAAUGUGACAAAUGCUUUGUCCAACAAUCCCAUCUUACUGUUCAUCAGAGAAUUCACACAGGAGAGAAACCUUACAAAUGCAGUGAAUGUGACAAAUGCUUUGGCCAACAAUCUCAUCGUAGUAUUCAUCAGAGAAUUCAUACUGGAGAGAAACCUUACAAAUGUAGUCAAUGUGACAAACAUUUUAUCCAAGAAUCCUGUCUUAGGCGUCAUCAGAGAAUUCAUACAGGAGAAAAACCUUACAAAUGUAGUGAAUGUGACAAAUGCUUUACUGUUAAACUCACUCUGAGAAGCCAUAUGAGAAUUCAUACAGGAGAGAAACCUUACAAAUGCAGUGAAUGUGACAAAUGCUUUGGCCGCAAAGGUAGUCUGAGAAUUCAUCAGAGAAUUCACACAGGAGAGAAACCUUACAAAUGCAGUGAAUGUGACAAAUACUUUGGCCGCAAAGGUAGUCUGAGAAUUCAUCAGAGAAUUCACACAGGAGAGAAACCUUACAAAUGUAGUCAAUGCGACAAACGUUUUACCCAAGAAUCUUGUC
Molecule: long non-coding RNA, 581 nt
Filed under: Rattus norvegicus (Norway rat)
Lineage: Eukaryota; Metazoa; Chordata; Mammalia; Rodentia; Muridae
Description: long non-coding RNA NONRATT023830
Source: RNAcentral